RNAcentral lists this ribosomal RNA (569 nucleotides) under aquatic bacterium STS_R2A_38. Its description in RNAcentral is "bacterial SSU rRNA". It matches the Rfam family "Bacterial small subunit ribosomal RNA", at positions 338 to 918 of the family's 1533-position model. The record is from RNAcentral.
CCUACGGGAGGCAGCAGUGGGGAAUAUUGCACAAUGGGCGAAAGCUGAUGCAGCGACGCCGCGUGAGGGAUGACGGCCUUCGGGUUGUAAACCUCUUUCAGUAGGGAAGAAGCGAAAGUGACGGUACCUGCAGAAGAAGCACCGGCUAACUACGUYCCAGCAGCCGCGGCAAUACGUAGGGUGCGAGCGUUGUCCGGAAUUACUGGGCGUAAAGAGCUCGUAGGCGGUUUGUCGCGUCUGUCGUGAAAGUCCNNNNCUUAACCCCGGAUCUGCGGUGGGUACGGGCAGACUAGAGUGCAGUAGGGGAGACUGGAAUUCCUGGUGUAGCGGUGGAAUGCGCAGAUAUCAGGAGGAACACCGAUGGCGAAGGCAGGUCUCUGGGCUGUAACUGACGCUGAGGAGCGAAAGCAUGGGGAGCGAACAGGAUUAGAUACCCUGGUAGUCCAUGCCGUAAACGUUGGGCACUAGGUGUGGGGACCAUUCCACGGUUUCCGCGCCGCAGCUAACGCAUUAAGUGCCCCGCCUGGGGAGUACGGCCGCAAGGCUAAAACUCAAAGGAAUUGACGGGG